GUAGAGGUGAAAUUCGUAGAUAUUAGGAGGAACACCAGUGGCGAAAGCGGCUCUCUGGACGGUGACUGACGCUGAGGCACGAAAGCAUAGGUAGCAAACAGGAUUAGAUACCCUGGUAGUCUAUGCCGUAAACGAUGGGCACUAGUCGGUGCGGGUAUUGACCCCUGCGCUGACGAAGCUAACGCAUUAAGUGCCCCGCCUGGGGAGUACGGCCGCAAGGCUAAAACUCAAAGGAAUUGACGGGGGCCCGCACAAGCGGUGGAGCAUGUGGAUUAAUUCGACGCAACGCGCAGAACCUUACCUAGCCUUGACAUGUUAGCGUACGACCCCCAAAAGGGUCUGACCUUCGGGAACGCUUACACAGGUGCUGCAUGGCUGUCGUCAGCUCGUGUCGUGAGAUGUUGGGUUAAGUCCCGCAACGAGUGCAACCCCUACCCUUAGUUACCAGCGGUUCGGCCGGGCACUCUAGGGGAACUGCCGGUUUUAAGCCGGAGGAAGGUGGGGAUGACGUCAAGUCCUCAUGGCCCUUACGGCUAGGGCUUCACACGUGCUACAAUGGUUGGUACAAAGGGUCGCAAUACCGCGAGGUGGAGCCAAUCCCAAAAAACCAAUCUCAGUUCGGAUUGGAGUCUGCAACUCGACUCCAUGAAGUCGGAAUCGCUAGUAAUCGUGGAUCAGCAUGCCACGGUGAAUACGUUCCCGGGCCUUGUACACACCGCCCGUCACACCAUGGGAGUUGAUUGGACCAGAAGUCGUCGAGCUAACCUUCGGGAGGCAGGCGCCCAAGGUCUGAUGAGCGACUGGGGUGAAGUCGUAACAAGGUAGCC
Molecule: ribosomal RNA, 827 nt
Filed under: uncultured marine microorganism
Description: bacterial SSU rRNA
Rfam family: Bacterial small subunit ribosomal RNA
Source: RNAcentral